Molecule: ribosomal RNA, 659 nt
Filed under: Pantoea vagans
Lineage: Bacteria; Pseudomonadati; Pseudomonadota; Gammaproteobacteria; Enterobacterales; Erwiniaceae
Description: bacterial SSU rRNA
Rfam family: Bacterial small subunit ribosomal RNA
Source: RNAcentral
AGUCUACCAUGCAAGUCGGACGGUAGCACAGAGGAGCUUGCUCCUUGGGUGACGAGUGGCGGACGGGUGAGUAAUGUCUGGGGAUCUGCCCGAUAGAGGGGGAUAACCACUGGAAACGGUGGCUAAUACCGCAUAACGUCGCAAGACCAAAGAGGGGGACCUUCGGGCCUCUCACUAUCGGAUGAACCCAGAUGGGAUUAGCUAGUAGGCGGGGUAAUGGCCCACCUAGGCGACGAUCCCUAGCUGGUCUGAGAGGAUGACCAGCCACACUGGAACUGAGACACGGUCCAGACUCCUACGGGAGGCAGCAGUGGGGAAUAUUGCACAAUGGGCGCAAGCCUGAUGCACCCAUGCCGCGUGUAUGAAGAAGGCCUUCGGGUUGUAAAGUACUUUCAGCGGGGAGGAAGGCGAUGCGGUUAAUAACCGCGUCGAUUGACGUUACCCGCAAAAGAAGCACCGGCUAACUCCGUGCCAGCAGCCGCGGUAAUACGGAGGGUGCAAGCGUUAAUCGGAAUUACUGGGCGUAAAGCGCACGCAGGCGGUCUGUUAAGUCAGAUGUGAAAUCCCCGGGCUUAACCUGGGAACUGCAUUUGAAACUGGCAGGCUUGAGUCUUGUAGAGGGGGGUAGAAUUCCGGGUGUAGCGGUGAAAUGCGUAAAA